UUCAUUUGUUUUGCUUUUCUAAAAUCACUAGUCAAAAUUUGCUUUUUUUUUUUUUUAGCCUUUUAGAUUUUGUUUCUUUAAUUCUUUAAUUUAUUUAUUUUUAUUAUUUUUGUUUCAAGUGUUACCAUUUAUUUUUCUUUCCCAAUUCCACGUUUCUUUAAUUUUGUUUUACCUUUCUUGCUGAUUUAUUUCGCACUACUAUAUUCUUCUUUCUCUUUUCUUGUUACUAUAAAUUCUUUUUGGAACUUUAAUCCUUGUUCUGUUUACUGCAAAUGGUGGGGAAGAGAACGAGAAGCAAUCGGAAGUCAUCCAACAACUUAGACGUUGAGCAAUCGGAAGUCCUCCAACAACUUAGACGUCGGUUUGUUGUUGAUUUCUUUUGGGGUAGUCUUCGAAUGCGUUUUUGGGGGGUCGAUUAAGUACGUUGUGGUUGAAUUUUUGUUAAGUUUCCUGAACCGUUACUAAUUUGGUUGUGAUAAUUAUCAAUUUAAGUGUUGGAUA
Gossypium arboreum is the source of this 501-nucleotide long non-coding RNA. RefSeq lists it as uncharacterized. The record is from RefSeq and is a predicted model, not a curated record. NCBI's taxonomy places the organism in Eukaryota, Viridiplantae, Streptophyta, Magnoliopsida, Malvales, Malvaceae. The transcript has 2 exons.